Molecule: ribosomal RNA, 253 nt
Filed under: uncultured bacterium
Lineage: Bacteria
Description: partial 16S ribosomal RNA
Rfam family: Bacterial small subunit ribosomal RNA
Source: RNAcentral
UACGUAGGGGGCAAGCGUUGUCCGGAAUCAUUGGGCGUAAAGAGCGUGUAGGCGGCCCGAUAAGUCCGCCGUGAAAGUCCAGGGCUCAACCCUGGAAUGCCGGUGGAAACUGUCGGGCUGGAGUCCGGAAGAGGCGAGUGGAAUUCCUGGUGUAGCGGUGAAAUGCGCAGAUAUCAGGAGGAACACCAAUGGCGAAGGCAGCUCGCUGGGACGGUACUGACGCUGAGACGCGAAAGCGUGGGAAGCAAACAGG